CUGACGUAGGUACCUGACGUCACCGCGCUACAGUCUGCAGCGAGGAGUACUUGGGGUUUUUCCCGGGGAUCAUGCGGAGAACAUCUGCGCAGUGUGUCGAUGCACCUUAUGAGAGAAAAAGACCAGCAAGCAAGGCAACUGCAAUGAAGCAUCAAGAAAGACAUGGACAUGCCAGCCACCCUGAGGCUGAUAAUUCAUGAGAAGACAUUUCUGUCAAAGUGGAUGGUGAGCAAAGAUGGUGGCCACGUUUUGGAGCAGCACCUGGGUUUUGCAGAUGGCUAUGUAUUCUUUGGCUACUUAUCUUUAUGUUUCUGUUGCCUAAAGAUUCUUUGUGAGGAUAAAUCACAACAAAAUGCACUGCAAAACGUCCUAAGACAGGAGAAAUGGUAAAGAUGCACUGUUCCAGAGUUGGAAGACUGU
Onychostoma macrolepis is the source of this 420-nucleotide long non-coding RNA. RefSeq lists it as uncharacterized. Lineage: Eukaryota; Metazoa; Chordata; Actinopteri; Cypriniformes; Cyprinidae. The transcript has 3 exons. The record is from RefSeq and is a predicted model, not a curated record.